This is a long non-coding RNA of Xiphophorus couchianus (Monterrey platyfish), 1887 nucleotides long. RefSeq lists it as uncharacterized. The transcript has 4 exons. Lineage: Eukaryota; Metazoa; Chordata; Actinopteri; Cyprinodontiformes; Poeciliidae. The record is from RefSeq and is a predicted model, not a curated record.
CUAAAUAUUCCCAUUUCAAACUAAAUAAAUCAAAUAUUUAGUGUGUAAAUAAAAUAUGUAGAUUGUUAGCAGAAGGUUUAUCUUUCUAAUUAAAACAAUGAAUAAAUAAUAUUCUGGAAAUAUGAGUCUAAAAAAAAUGAAGCUCCAUUUUUUUCUGUUAUGACAAUAAAUAACAUGAAUUAUUGCUGUUAAUUGUCAUCACUGAAGCUCUUACAUCGAGUUUCCUCCAGUAAUUACAAGCCUUACUGUUUCCCCCCUACAGGGUAACAGUAAGGCUGUCACCCUGCCUGCCUCCACCAAAAGCAAUUCGAUAAGAAAUAAGAGAUUUACUUAAUCUUUCACUAACUCAAAUCUGCAAACUAAACACAUGCAACUUUCCUUACAAAUCAAAUGCGGCGCCAUUAAACUGGAAAUAAACAGGAUUUCCUGCAGCAUAAAAUUUAGCCAAACAAAUUUAGUUAUUUUUUAAAUCAAAUUCAGACGAUCAACUCAGUCAAAGGUCUUAUUUAUUUGACCUACAAAAACUUCUGUUUUGAACUUAUAUGUUCUCUAAAUGCCUAGAAGCAAAGGUGAGCCUUGUAUUACAAACUAAAACAAAUUAAAUGUUCUGUUUAAAAUUCAGUUAAAACUAAAGAAACUCAUGUACUCAUGACAAUCUGCAGCCACAACACCAGGGGGCGCUGGAGGUCAGAGUACUUUCUGUGUAGCUGCUCAUUGCGACACAUCGUCACUUAAAGCGAAUAUUUUUGUCAGGUUUAAAGGCCCUAUAACAUUUAAUUUGAACAUUUUCUGUUUCAAACGUAACAGAAAAUGGAAUACUGUAAAACUAUCUUUUUCUUUAAGCCUCUUCAUGCAAAAGGCAACAAAAAAUGUUUUACUUAACAUAAAAACAAAGAAAACAAACAAACAAAAAUACAAAACAGACAAAAAUUAAACAAGGAUAAACAUGAGCAAAAAAAUAAAGAAUUAAGGAAAAACUAGAGGUGGAGAUAAAAUUCCUACAAUUUAAAAUCACAAAUAAAUAAAUAAACUGAGUUAACUUUAAUUCAAACAGCCAUUAUGAAAGCCUCUAAGUUUUUCCAGGAUGUAAAAGCUUAUAUUUAUAAUAAAUUCUUCUUUUCUUGCUUUGACUGAAUGCCCGCCAUCUGUGUAAAUUAAAAAUUAAAUCAUAUCCAUUCCUGUAUUCUUUUAAUAUUUCAAACAGAUUCCCACACUUCAUGCAGAUGGAGGCCACGUCGUCCAGGCCUGCAGGGCGACUCCCUACGGAAACCCCAACUCCCGCAUCAGCUACACCACCAUUGAAAACCCGUACAGAGAACAAAGAUUUCUAGUUUAGAUCACCCUGAGUGGAGAGUCCAGCAGCUCAAACCUGCAGCCGUAAAACUAAACUAAAGGUCUGCAUCACCUGCUCGGUUCUCCUGUGUGAGAACGCCGUUCCUGGUACUCGGUGUUCUCAGGGAUGCACCAACCAAGGGAAGCUCCUUCUCAAACUAACAGCCACUCCAUUUCCCAGGGACCUCUGGCACUAAAGGGGAGUGGUUUUCUUCUCCUUCACAGGGUGGCAGGCUGAUGGGAUCCAGCUGUGACUCAUCACCACCAAUCUGCCUUAAACAAGAGCGGCUUCCCAGAAGCAGUGAACCCGUGCUGAACACUCUGAGACAUACUCACCUGAAGUAUCUGAUCCUUGCUGCUCCGUUGGGCUUUGCCACCUGGGUGCGUCACGCCCUCAAUCGCCUGCUGGAACUCCUCCAUCUGGAAACCACCAAACCACACCAACUGUUGGACCCCCAUGUCCUCUCCUCUGCUUACCUCUACUCGCAGACUGUAAGCCACCAACAGGUUACUCCGUCAUUCCCUUCAUUACUUCCCUCUUUAACCGUUCGCCCU